Molecule: ribosomal RNA, 256 nt
Filed under: uncultured bacterium
Lineage: Bacteria
Description: partial 16S ribosomal RNA
Rfam family: Bacterial small subunit ribosomal RNA
Source: RNAcentral
UACGUAGGGUGCGAGCGUUAAUCGGAAUUACUGGGCGUAAAGCGUGCGCAGGCGGUUUUGUAAGCCAGGUGUGAAAUCCCCCGGGCUCAACCUGGGGAAUGGCAUUUGGGACUGCAAGGCUGGAGUGCGGCAGAGGAGACUGGAAUUCCUGGUGUAGCAGUGAAAUGCGUAGAUAUCAGGAGGAACACCGAGUGGCGAAGGCAGGUCUCUGGGCUGACACUGACGCUCAUGCACGAAAGCGUGGGGAGCAAACAGG